AACGCACCUUGCGCUCCUUGGUAUUCCGAGGAGCAUGCCUGUUUGAGUGUCAUGAAAUCUUCAACCUACAAGCCUUUGCGGUUUGUAGGCUUGGACUUGGAGGCUUGUCGGCCCUUUGUCGGUCGGCUCCUCUUAAAUGCAUUAGCUUGAUUCCUUGCGGAUCGGCUCUCGGUGUGAUAAUGUCUACGCCGCGACCGUGAAGCGUUUGGCGAGCUUCUAACCGUCUUCGCUUGAAGACAGCUUUAUGACCUCUGACCUCAAAUCAGGUAGGACUACCCGCUGAACUUAA
Molecule: unclassified non-coding RNA, 289 nt
Filed under: uncultured Ganoderma
Lineage: Eukaryota; Fungi; Basidiomycota; Agaricomycetes; Polyporales; Polyporaceae
Description: sequence contains ITS2
Rfam family: 5.8S ribosomal RNA (bases 1-52)
Source: RNAcentral